AGAGUUUGAUCCUGGCUCAGAAUGAACGCUGGCGGCGUGCCUUACACAUGCAAGUCGAGCGAGGCGCGGGGGCAACCCCGCAGUCGAGCGGCGAACGGGUGAGUAACACGUGGAUAACCUGCCCUGAGGCGUGGAACAACCAGGGGAAACUCUGGCUAAUACCGCAUGAUACCGAGAGGUCAAAGGGGGCUCGCAAGGGCUCUCGCCACAGGAGGGGUCCGCGUCCGAUUAGCUAGUUGGUAGGGUAAUGGCCUACCAAGGCGACGAUCGGUAGCCGGCCUGAGAGGGUGAUCGGCCACACUGGAACUGAGACACGGUCCAGACUCCUACGGGAGGCAGCAGUGGGGAAUUUUGCGCAAUGGGCUAACGCCUGACGCAGCAACGCCGCGUGGAGGAUGAAGGUCUUUGGAUUGUAAACUCCUGUCAGCAGGGAAAAAGCGAAUUGGCCUAAUACGCCAGUGAGUUGAUUGUACCUGCAGAGGAAGCCC
RNAcentral lists this ribosomal RNA (488 nucleotides) under uncultured bacterium. Its description in RNAcentral is "bacterial SSU rRNA". It matches the Rfam family "Bacterial small subunit ribosomal RNA", at positions 8 to 493 of the family's 1533-position model. The record is from RNAcentral.